AAUCUGAUGGAUUGCUUAUAUGCUUUCUGAUGGCUGAGUUAAAAUCCUUUUCAGAUCAUUCCAGCAUUGGAUUCAACUGAUGUUGAUUGACAGAGGAAGGGCAGAGGCUAUUAGGACAACUCAUCUCCUACAAUAUUAAAAACACCCUGGCAGGCUUCACCAGGUCACAAGAAGGACCCGCCGGAGCUGGGAGUGGGAAGAGCAGCUGUGGUGGUGGUUCGCAGACAGUCUUUCUGCAGAAUUGACUAGAAGACAGACAUCGCAUCAGCAAGUGGGGCCAGUAAUGUAGAAGACAGUGUGACAAAACUGAUGGAUCUUCACUGCAAAACUGGAGAGCUGGUACAGGAUUUCUCCGUUCUUUAGUCUGAGCAUAACGACUACCAUGAACUAGACAGACUCUACUGCAGCUUCUCAGAAAGUGCUGCUGUCACCUCCACUUCCAAUCCAAUGUGUUGUAUGGAUGAAUGUGAGCGUUAUUCAGGCACUUUCCCCUAUGUCAUGUCCUUUGAUCUUCAUCACAUUCUACCUCUCAGCUCGUUAUUUCUAAUAACAGGAAACUCAGCCUGGGAACAGUCACCUAGCUAAAUAAAUGAUCAAACCAAGACUUUGGGUUGGCCUUCCUCUUUUUCCCAGCUAAGGGAAGGUUCCCGGGGGUGGACACAUGAUACAAGAGCCCAGGGAAGCAGGUUUCCCCCAUAUUUCUCAUGCCAUUUUCUCCUCAUUGCAGACGUAUGCUGAUUUCACAC
This is a non-coding RNA of Macaca mulatta (Rhesus monkey), 746 nucleotides long. NCBI's taxonomy places the organism in Eukaryota, Metazoa, Chordata, Mammalia, Primates, Cercopithecidae. The record is from RefSeq and is a predicted model, not a curated record.